GCCAGGUGCAGUGGCUUGCACCUGUAGUCCCAACUACUCAGGAGGCUGAGAAGGGAGGAUCACUUGAGCUCAGGAGUUCGAGGCUGCAGUGAGCCGAGAUCUCACCACUGCACUCCUGCCUGGAUGACAGAGUGAGACCCUGUCUCAA
Non-coding RNA from Homo sapiens (human), 148 nucleotides. It matches the Rfam family "Metazoan signal recognition particle RNA". Rfam says of the family: The signal recognition particle (SRP) is a universally conserved ribonucleoprotein. It is involved in the co-translational targeting of proteins to membranes. The eukaryotic SRP consists of a 300-nucleotide 7S RNA and six proteins: SRPs 72, 68, 54, 19, 14, and 9. The record is from Rfam. Lineage: Eukaryota; Metazoa; Chordata; Mammalia; Primates; Hominidae.